AUGACGCUGGCAGGGUCAGGGGGCAUUUCGAGUUUCCGUGACAGAAAAGCUCCUCAAGAUGAGGCAGUCCCGGCCGCGUCACGUCCGCGGUGGCAAGCGGGCCUGAUGCUGGGCUGCUUGGGCAGCCCUGGCGUUGGGCGGGCACGGUGCGGGGCGCGGGGCCGCCGCGCCCGGGUGAGAAGCGGGGCGGGACGGAGCGCGCGGGGCGCCGGCGGCACGUCUGCCAGCUGAGACCCGCGUCGCUGGCAAGGUUGCCCCCCGCCCCUCGGCUUGCGUUUACAGCAUUUAGAGGCUGCCACAAAGAUGGACGGCCACACAGAUAUCCACGUUGACUUAACCUUCCCCUCAAGUCUGUGACACUUAAAUAGCUUCUGUCCUCUACGGACGGGACGGAGAGAGCCAAGACCGUGUCCCAGAUGACUAGAGGACUAACAGCUGCUAACGUCUACUGACUCUUAACCAUGCCUAGCUAUAACGUAUGGCCUGGAUCUUACAAACAGCCUCUUUCCGCGCCUGCCGGACAGAGUCCUGGCCCCCAGUUUCAACUGAAUCCAGUUCCAAAAGUU
Non-coding RNA from Microcebus murinus (gray mouse lemur), 566 nucleotides. NCBI's taxonomy places the organism in Eukaryota, Metazoa, Chordata, Mammalia, Primates, Cheirogaleidae. The record is from RefSeq and is a predicted model, not a curated record.